GACGAACGCUGGCGGCGUGCUUAACACAUGCAAGUCGAACGGAAAGGUCCUGCUUUUGUGGGGUGCUCGAGUGGCGAACGGGUGAGUAACACGUGAGUAACCUGCCAUUGACUUUGGGAUAACUUCAGGAAACUGGGGCUAAUACCGGAUAGGAGCUCCUGCUGCAUGGUGGGGGUUGGAAAGUUUCGGCGGUUGGGGAUGGACUCGCGGCUUAUCAGGUUGUUGGUGGGGUAGUGGCUUACCAAGGCUUUGACGGGUAGCCGGCCUGAGAGGGUGAGCGGCCACAUUGGGACUGAGAGACGGCCCAGACUCCUACGGGAGGCAGCAGUGGGGAAUAUUGCACAAUGGGCGGAAGCCUGAGGCAGCAACGCCGCGUGCGGGAUAACGGCCUUCGGGUUGUAAACCGCUUUCGCCUGUGACGAAGCGUGAGUGACGGUAAUGGGUAAAGAAGCACCGGCUAACUACGUG
Molecule: ribosomal RNA, 468 nt
Filed under: uncultured bacterium
Lineage: Bacteria
Description: partial 16S ribosomal RNA
Rfam family: Bacterial small subunit ribosomal RNA
Source: RNAcentral